AUUUGCUCCUAUUUGCGUCGUUGUUCUCUCUGUCUCUCUUUCUCUUGCUCUGCAACUCCAUCUACAAAAAAAAAAAAAAGCAUUGAUAGAAGGAGAUGAACACAUUAAUGGAUAGUUUCCAUUAACAGUUUGGUGUGUUGUUGAUGUGAUUGAAAUUGUGUGAUUAAUUCUUUGAAGACAGCAAUUGAAGAUCGGAGGUGGAAAGAGUGAAGAAGAAUAGGAUUAUGAACGGAUUUUGUGGUAAAGAAUGAUUUUGAUGGAGUUGUUGUUGUGGUUAAGAAUGAUUUGGUGGUGCUGGUGUUGCUUGCUAGUGGUGUUGGUGUUGCUUUCUGGUGAUGUUUGCCGGUGGUGAGGUGGGUAUUUAGAAUAAUAGAUGGCUGAAGUAAUGGAAAAGAUGGUAAGGAUUCUAUGGGUUGGAAGGAGCUGCUGUGGAUUCUUGAACUGAUGAUGUAGUUGGUUGAAGCACUGGCGCUGAUGAUGAUGCUUUUACUACAGAAAUUGCAGGUCAUACUGGUAAUGAAAUUGGUAUAACUAUUGGUGUUGUAUGUGAGAUUGCAAUGGUUUGCUGAGAGAAUGGAAUUGAAGACAGUGGUGUUGUGGUAGUUUUUGAUUGCAGUGGUGAUUUGAAAUGAUGAAGAACUGGAGGCUUUGGUUGCUUUUGUUAUUUAUAGAUGAAUGUUUAGGACAGGAUAUGAGUUGUUGUAGAUGGUUUGAACUGAAAUGGUUAUGAACCGGUGGUUCAAGAGGGUGCAACAAUUCAGAUGGAAAUGGUUGUUGUGCAGUGGUGUUUGGUGGUCUGGUAACGCAGGAAAUUGGUUAUGCAAUGGUUGUGGUACAGGUGCAAUGGCCGCUGAUGUUUGAAUGGCACCGGAAAUUCAGCCCAGUUCAGGAUCUGUGACACCACAUUCACACAAGGGUUCAUGGCUUCUUCUCUUGAGGUAUAGCUACCUCCACCACCACCGGUAUCACCACUUCAUCACCAUCACCUCAACAACUGAGGAGGGGUAUUUUAGACAAAAUUCAGACUGUUUUUUCAAAAACAGUCAAGUCGGAUGGAGAAAUAUCUUUUUGUAAUCACUAAUUUAAAGUAUGAUCAUUUGUAAAACAAAUUAAGAAAGUGUGACGAUUCUGUAAAACACCCAUAUUGAAUUUAUACGUAUUCUUGAAAUUGACAUAA
Molecule: long non-coding RNA, 1177 nt
Organism: Papaver somniferum (opium poppy)
Lineage: Eukaryota; Viridiplantae; Streptophyta; Magnoliopsida; Ranunculales; Papaveraceae
Exons: 2
Source: RefSeq, a predicted model, not a curated record